UAACCCAAAUUUCCUUUACUGUUUGGCAUG
Molecule: non-coding RNA, 30 nt
Filed under: Rattus norvegicus (Norway rat)
Lineage: Eukaryota; Metazoa; Chordata; Mammalia; Rodentia; Muridae
Source: RNAcentral